Molecule: ribosomal RNA, 497 nt
Filed under: uncultured bacterium
Lineage: Bacteria
Description: partial 16S ribosomal RNA
Rfam family: Bacterial small subunit ribosomal RNA
Source: RNAcentral
GAUGAACGCUGGCGGCGUGCCUAAUACAUGCAAGUCGAGCGAACAGAUGAUGAGCUUGUGCCUCUGACGUUAGCGGCUGACGGGUGAGUAACACGUGGAUAACCUACCUAUAAGACUGGGAGAACUUCGUGAAACCGGAUCUAAUACCGGAUAAUAUAUUGAACCGCAUGGUUCAAUAGUGAAAGACGGUUUUGCUGUCACUUAUAGAUGGAUCCGCGCCGCAUUAGCUAGUUGGUAAGGUAACGGCUUACCAAGGCGACGAUGCGUAGCCGACCUGAGAGGGUGAUCGGCCACACUGGAACUGAGACACGGUCCAGACUCCUACGGGAGGCAGCAGUAGGGAAUAUUCCGCAAUGGGCGAAAGCCUGACGGAGCAACGCCGCGUGAGUGAUGAAGGUCUUCGGAUCGUAAAACUCUGUUAUUAGGAAAGAAAAAAUGUGUAAGUAAAUAUGCACGUCUUGACGGUACCUAAUGAGAAAGCCACGGCUAACUACGUG